This 1159-nucleotide long non-coding RNA is filed under the name Homo sapiens (human). RNAcentral describes it as "HSALNT0046379". Lineage: Eukaryota; Metazoa; Chordata; Mammalia; Primates; Hominidae. The record is from RNAcentral.
GCCAGAGGGAGGAGCAAGGUUCUGAGGUGGGAGUGUGCCUGGGAUGAUGGGGAAAGCAGUCGGUGGACCAUCACAUCAGGACCAAGGGAGUGACGGAGGAGGAGGACAUGAUGAAGAGGGAAGAGGGGAAGGACAGACCCGUGUAGGACCCUGGAGGCCCUAGGAAGGAUGUGUUGAUCUGAUGAGCCUCUCGCUUUGGAAACUCGGGCUCAGCAUCUGCUCUGAAGAGACAAUCUGAGACAGCUGUUUCACAUUUCAGUCUCUAUGGGAUUACCGCCAAAUGACCAAUCUGACCAAUACAUCCAGUCUAAUGCAACCAUGGAGACUGUAUGAAGAUGUUGCUUCCCUACCUGCACCUCUGGCCCGAUUUACACAUAAGCACACUCACAAAGAUAUGUCUACAGGCUGCAUGGCUCUGUUAUUGACUACUGAAUGGUUUCCAGGCUGUCUUUGUCUCAAGGUCAAUCAGACUCAAGUUCCACUUUUUUUUUUCCUCUUGUAGGAAGAUUUCUUUAUUGGUAAGCUGAUUUAAAUUCCUUUGCAGAUAUUGAACCAAAUCUGCUCAGGCUGCAGCCUCCUGGGACCUUUCACUCUGGGCUAAAUAUAAAUAAAUACCCAUAUAGGACAGCUUUUGAUGAAACAUUAAAGAUCACUCUGGUUAUAUGGCUUCUAGAUUUUCUAUUUUCUGUAUGAAAAACCCAUGGCGGUAAAAAGAACCUUCGCCACGGAAAGGAAUAGAUUUGUAAAUUGCUGCCUAUGGACCUCCUGGGACUUAAUGGCACAGGGCAAAGAAGCAGCUGAGCUUGGCAAAGGAAGCAAGAUAAAUAAAAUUAGCCACCAAAUCAGCUCCUUUAAAAAUACCAGCUGUCAACUCCCUCCAGCGUUUAUGAAUUUGGGGGCAUGUUACUGUCACAUUGUGUCUCACCCAGGACCAAGCAGCAUUGCUCUUUUCAACUGGGAAAGGGUCCCUAACUCCCCUCACAGGGAAAGCUAAUGCAAAAAUUUGCCCUUUCUCUUUCACUCUGUCUCCCUUGUCAUGUGUGCAAGGAAGAAACCAAUCCAGGCCAACCAAGAGUUAUUGCUAUAAUGAUUAUACUUGUCAUUGUUUGUUCUUAAACUAUUCACCAAGUAAUCCCUUUAAAGGGUAGGGCUACUGGCU